GGGGGUUUAGCUCAGCGGGAGAGCAUCGGCUUUGCAAGCCGAGGGACAAGGGUUCAAUCCCCUUAACCUCCA
This 72-nucleotide transfer RNA is filed under the name Deltaproteobacteria bacterium. RNAcentral's name for it is "tRNA-Ala". It matches the Rfam family "tRNA". Rfam says of the family: Transfer RNA (tRNA) molecules are approximately 80 nucleotides in length. Their secondary structure includes four short double-helical elements and three loops (D, anti-codon, and T loops). The record is from RNAcentral. Lineage: Bacteria; Pseudomonadati; Myxococcota; Myxococcia.